GAUGAACGCUGACAGAAUGCUUAACACAUGCAAGUCUACUUGAACUUCGGUUUGGGUGGCGGACGGGUGAGUAACGCGUAAAGAACUUGCCUCACAGAUAGGGACAACAUUUGGAAACGAAUGCUAAUACCUGAUAUUAUGAUUUUAGGGCAUCCUAGAAUUAUGAAAGCUAUAUGCACUGUGAGAGAGCUUUGCGUCCCAUUAGCUAGUUGGAGAGGUAACGGCUCACCAAGGCGAUGAUGGGUAGCCGGCCUGAGAGGGUGAUCGGCCAAAAGGGGACUGAGACACGGCCCUUACUCCUACGGGAGGAAGCAGUGGGGAAUAUUGGAAAAUGGACCAAGAGUCUGAUACAGAAAUUCUGUGUGCAAGAUGAAGUUUUUCGGAAUGUAAAGUGCUUUCAGUUGGGAAGAAAAAAAUGACGGUACCAACAGAAGAAGUGACGGCUAAAUACGUG
This 454-nucleotide ribosomal RNA is filed under the name uncultured bacterium. RNAcentral describes it as "partial 16S ribosomal RNA". It matches the Rfam family "Bacterial small subunit ribosomal RNA", at positions 28 to 507 of the family's 1533-position model. The record is from RNAcentral.